This 327-nucleotide ribosomal RNA is filed under the name uncultured eukaryote. RNAcentral describes it as "partial 18S ribosomal RNA". It matches the Rfam family "Eukaryotic small subunit ribosomal RNA", at positions 1470 to 1796 of the family's 1831-position model. The record is from RNAcentral.
CCCUUAGAUGUUCUGGGCCGCACACGCGCUACACUGAAGGAGGCAGCGUGUACUCCUGGAUCGAAAGAUUUGGGUAACCCGCGAAUCUCCUUCGUGCUAGGGAUUGAGGUUUGCAAUUAUCCUUCAUGAACGAGGAAUUCCCAGUAAGUGCAAGUCAUAAGCUUGCGCUGACUACGUCCCUGCCCUUUGUACACACCGCCCGUCGCUACUACCGAUUGAAUGAUUUAGUGAGGACUUCGGACUGGGACCGAUGCGGCUUUCGGGCUGCGUCGGUAUUCUGGAAAGAUGUCCAAACUGUAUCAUUUUGAGGAAGUAAAAGUCGUAACA